GCCCGUCCCCCUUCCCGUGGGAGGGCGUCUGACCCCAGGCACUCGUUGCUCACCACGGCAGCUCCAGGACACCAGCACAGAGCCUUGAAUCCCUAAUGCAGCAUCUAGAAGGGCCAACCAGGGCUCCCGCUCCAGACAGCGGGUGGGGCCCUCUCCCCCCAUGGCAGAUCCUGAUGAAGGAGGUUUGUUCGGCCCCUUCUCACUUCACCUGUGGCCACUAGAUGCUGGGCAGUCUCUGGACCAGGCCUCUCCACUGGCAGAGCUGGUGUGGCAGGCAUCUCCUCUCCUCACACUGGCCUGGCUUUCCUGCCCAGCCCUUACCCCGCCCGCCAGCUGUGGGCUGCCCCUCUCCGUGCUCCUGAGGGCUGAGAAUGUGGAUGAGCUGAAUGGAGGGGAGGGGGGCAGGUUCCUGUUCUUUCGACGGGUGGCUCCACACUUCCUUUUUUGCAAUAAAGGCCCCUCUCUGCCCGAGGAUGCUGUGUCUGGCUGGGGGUGGGGCCAGCUCUGGCUCCUCCCAUUUGGUCUUGCCAGGUACCCCAUAGGAGAGGUUUCAGUCCCAGGAAAGCCUGGGCCCUUCUCUCCAGCCUGUCCCCUUCACAGCCUCUGCCCCUGCAGCUGGUCCCCUUGCCUUCCGCGCCUCCAGUUCUCCCGGAAGGUUCAGAGAGGUUCUGCCCAGCCAGGAGCCGCAGGGCAACACCUGAAACGGAGCCAAUUGCAGCCUCCUUCAUUUUCCAGCUGGAGGCAUGGCCUGUGGAGACUACAGCUCCCAGCAUGCCCUGCUCCAGCGUCAUCUCCACAGGGGGCCGAUGGCACCGCAGGUGCUCCAGGGGUUGCAGUUCUGCACUGAAGACGAGGCGGCCAUGGGCUGGGCUGUAGGGUGCCAGUUCCUGAGAUAACAGGCCUUGGGCUUCGUGCCCAGCGGUGCAGAACUGGGCGGAGAGUCUGGGUGCCAACCAGCCCCGCCCUGAGGCAGGGAAAUCUUUGAUUUCUUCUCUGCUGGGAGUGGCCGAAGCCCCAUAAGCAGCGGUGCGUCAGCCAUGCCGAUGGGCACACAGCCUAGGGGGUGCUUCGAAGCAGUUUCUGAAGCGGUAACUGAUGUUUAAGGAAGGGUUCAGCCGUUGCUCGGUCUGGCGGGUUGCUUAGCCCAUGCAGGGCCUGAGGGCGGCUUGCCUCCGUGCCACGCUGCCCCCUCUGCAAGGCGCUUAGAGCCUCAUCGGGCCUGGAGCGGCCCUCCGCACUAGCUCGUGCGUGCAGCCUGUCCCUUACACUGCGUCCCCAGCACUAGGGGGCGCUGCUGCACAGCAGCUUUGGAUCUGCAGGCGGGGGCACUA
RNAcentral lists this long non-coding RNA (1331 nucleotides) under Chrysemys picta bellii (western painted turtle). RNAcentral's name for it is "lncRNA (ENSCPBG00000013174.1)". Lineage: Eukaryota; Metazoa; Chordata; Testudines; Emydidae. The record is from RNAcentral.